AUUUUCUUUAAACUUAAAGGAUUUGGCGGUGAUUUAGUCUAAUCAGAGGAACUUGCUUUUGAAUCGACAUGACGCGUAAAAUUUUACUUAUUUUUGUUUUUAGUUUGUAUACCGUCAUUAUUAGAUAAUUUUGUAAAAAUAAAAUUAUUGAAUUUAAUUAUAUUAUGAAAAUUAGAUCAAGGUGCAGCUUAUAAAUAAGUUAAAGUGGGUUACAAUAAGAUUUACUUAAACGGAUUAAGGUAAGUAAGAGACCUUAGAAAGGAGGAUUUGAUUGUAAUAUAAGUUUAAUAAGGUUAGGAGAUAAGAGCUCUAAAUUGUGUACACAUCGCC
This 330-nucleotide ribosomal RNA is filed under the name Erimetopus brazzae. Its description in RNAcentral is "partial 12S ribosomal RNA". Lineage: Eukaryota; Metazoa; Arthropoda; Malacostraca; Decapoda; Potamonautidae. The record is from RNAcentral.